RNAcentral lists this ribosomal RNA (372 nucleotides) under uncultured organism. RNAcentral describes it as "partial 16S ribosomal RNA". It matches the Rfam family "Bacterial small subunit ribosomal RNA", at positions 527 to 896 of the family's 1533-position model. The record is from RNAcentral.
GGAGGAGGUAAGCGUUGUUCGGAUUUACUGGGCGUAAAGGGUGCGUAGGCGGUCUCGAAAGUCGGACGUGAAAUACCAGGGCUCAACCUUGGAAUUGCGCUCGAUACUGCGAGACUAGAGUGUGGAAGGGGAGAGUGGAAUUCCCGGUGUAAGGGUGAAAUCUGUAGAUAUCGGGAGGAACACCAGUGGCGAAGGCGACUCUCUGGUCUACUACUGACGCUGAGGCACGAAAGCUGGGGGAGCGAACGGGAUUAGAUACCCCGGGUAGUCCCAGCCGUAAACGAUGUGCACUUGGUGUAGGUGGUUUUUUCCCGCCCUGUGCCGGAGCUAACGCAUUAAGUGCACCGCCUGGGGAGUACGGCCGCAGGGCUG